This 1428-nucleotide ribosomal RNA is filed under the name Streptococcus thermophilus. Its description in RNAcentral is "bacterial SSU rRNA". It matches the Rfam family "Bacterial small subunit ribosomal RNA". Lineage: Bacteria; Bacillati; Bacillota; Bacilli; Lactobacillales; Streptococcaceae. The record is from RNAcentral.
CUAAUACAUGCAAGUAGAACGCUGAAGAGAGGAGCUUGCUCUUCUUGGAUGAGUUGCGAACGGGUGAGUAACGCGUAGGUAACCUGCCUUGUAGCGGGGGAUAACUAUUGGAAACGAUAGCUAAUACCGCAUAACAAUGGAUGACACAUGUCAUUUAUUUGAAAGGGGCAAUUGCUCCACUACAAGAUGGACCUGCGUUGUAUUAGCUAGUAGGUGAGGUAAUGGCUCACCUAGGCGACGAUACAUAGCCGACCUGAGAGGGUGAUCGGCCACACUGGGACUGAGACACGGCCCAGACUCCUACGGGAGGCAGCAGUAGGGAAUCUUCGGCAAUGGGGGCAACCCUGACCGAGCAACGCCGCGUGAGUGAAGAAGGUUUUCGGAUCGUAAAGCUCUGUUGUAAGUCAAGAACGGGUGUGAGAGUGGAAAGUUCACACUGUGACGGUAGCUUACCAGAAAGGGACGGCUAACUACGUGCCAGCAGCCGCGGUAAUACGUAGGUCCCGAGCGUUGUCCGGAUUUAUUGGGCGUAAAGCGAGCGCAGGCGGUUUGAUAAGUCUGAAGUUAAAGGCUGUGGCUCAACCAUAGUUCGCUUUGGAAACUGUCAAACUUGAGUGCAGAAGGGGAGAGUGGAAUUCCAUGUGUAGCGGUGAAAUGCGUAGAUAUAUGGAGGAACACCGGUGGCGAAAGCGGCUCUCUGGUCUGUAACUGACGCUGAGGCUCGAAAGCGUGGGGAGCGAACAGGAUUAGAUACCCUGGUAGUCCACGCCGUAAACGAUGAGUGCUAGGUGUUGGAUCCUUUCCGGGAUUCAGUGCCGCAGCUAACGCAUUAAGCACUCCGCCUGGGGAGUACGACCGCAAGGUUGAAACUCAAAGGAAUUGACGGGGGCCCGCACAAGCGGUGGAGCAUGUGGUUUAAUUCGAAGCAACGCGAAGAACCUUACCAGGUCUUGACAUCCCGAUGCUAUUUCUAGAGAUAGAAAGUUACUUCGGUACAUCGGUGACAGGUGGUGCAUGGUUGUCGUCAGCUCGUGUCGUGAGAUGUUGGGUUAAGUCCCGCAACGAGCGCAACCCCUAUUGUUAGUUGCCAUCAUUCAGUUGGGCACUCUAGCGAGACUGCCGGUAAUAAACCGGAGGAAGGUGGGGAUGACGUCAAAUCAUCAUGCCCCUUAUGACCUGGGCUACACACGUGCUACAAUGGUUGGUACAACGAGUUGCGAGUCGGUGACGGCGAGCUAAUCUCUUAAAGCCAAUCUCAGUUCGGAUUGUAGGCUGCAACUCGCCUACAUGAAGUCGGAAUCGCUAGUAAUCGCGGAUCAGCACGCCGCGGUGAAUACGUUCCCGGGCCUUGUACACACCGCCCGUCACACCACGAGAGUUUGUAACACCCGAAGUCGGUGAGGUAACCUUUUGGAGCCAGCCGCCUAA